Molecule: ribosomal RNA, 256 nt
Filed under: Leucon rossi
Lineage: Eukaryota; Metazoa; Arthropoda; Malacostraca; Cumacea; Leuconidae
Description: partial 16S ribosomal RNA
Source: RNAcentral
AUAAUUUGUCUUCUAAUUUAAGUCUUGUAUGAAAGGGAUGACGUGAAGCACCCUGUCUCAAAAAUUAAAAAAAAUUAGAUUUAGAUUAAAAUCCCUAAAUGUAAUAAAAAGACGAUAAGACCCUACAAAAUUUUACUCAGUAUCUAGUAUAAUAGGUACACAAGUUUAUGAGUUUGACUGGGACGGUAAAAAUAAAUAAUCUGUUUUAUUUAAAACAUUAUGCCUGAAAAUAAAGACCCCUUAAGCCUAAAAAUCA